Molecule: long non-coding RNA, 251 nt
Organism: Carassius gibelio (silver crucian carp)
Lineage: Eukaryota; Metazoa; Chordata; Actinopteri; Cypriniformes; Cyprinidae
Exons: 3
Source: RefSeq, a predicted model, not a curated record
GCUUUGAAUAUGUGAAAGAAGAAAAAGAGUGCUGUGGAACAUGUAAACAAUAUUGCUGUAUUUACAAUGCACCAGACAAGACCACACCUAAACUCAAGGUUCAAGAGGAAUACAAGUUUAAAUGUACGACCGGUACCUGCAAAGAAGUUAAUGGCUCCCUUGCGAUUGUGGAGAGCAUUAAAACAUGCCCUUACAUUAAUCCAAAUGAAUGUGUACCUGGAACAAUAAAAGAUGACACAGAUGGAUGUUGC